RNAcentral lists this ribosomal RNA (600 nucleotides) under uncultured bacterium. RNAcentral's name for it is "bacterial SSU rRNA". It matches the Rfam family "Bacterial small subunit ribosomal RNA", at positions 338 to 953 of the family's 1533-position model. The record is from RNAcentral.
CCUACGGGAGGCAGCAGUAGGGAAUUUUCCGCAAUGGGCGAAAGCCUGACGGAGCAAUACCGCGUGAGGGAUGACGGCCUGUGGGUUGUAAACCUCUUUUCUCAAGGAAGAAGUUCUGACGGUACUUGAGGAAUAAGCAUCGGCUAACUCUGUGCCAGCAGCCGCGGUAAUACAGAGGAUGCAAGCGUUAUCCGGAAUCACUGGGCAUAAAGCGUCUGUAGGUUGUUUAGUAAGUCUGCUGUUAAAGACUGGGGCUUAACCCCAGAAAAGCAGUGGAAACUGCUAGACUCGAGUGUGGUAGAGGUAGAGGGAAUUCCUAGUGUAGCGGUGAAAUGCGUAGAUAUUAGGAAGAACACCAAUGGCGAAGGCACUCUACUGGGCCAUAACUGACACUGAGAGACGACAGCUAGGGGAGCAAACGGGAUUAGAUACCCCGGUAGUCCUAGCCGUAAACGAUGGAUACUAGAUGUUGCACGUAUUAACCCGUGCAGUAUCGUAGCUAAGGCGUUAAGUAUCCGCCUGGGAAGUACGCUCGCAAGAGUGAACUCAAUGAAUUGACGGCUGAGACGUCGCCGACGGACGACGACGAGGGAGGUUAGG